Molecule: ribosomal RNA, 470 nt
Filed under: uncultured bacterium
Lineage: Bacteria
Description: bacterial SSU rRNA
Rfam family: Bacterial small subunit ribosomal RNA
Source: RNAcentral
GAUGAACGCUGGCGGCGUGCUUAACACAUGCAAGUCGAACGGAGUUAUUUGAAAGCUUGCUUUUGAAUAACUUAGUGGCGGACGGGUGAGUAACGCGUGGGUGACCUGCCUUAUACUGGGGGGAUAACACUUAGAAAUAGGUGCUAAUACCGCAUAAGCGCACAGUUCUGCAUGGAACAGUGUGAAAAACUCCGGUGGUAUAAGAUGGACCCGCGUCUGAUUAGCUGGUUGGUGAGGUAACGGCUCACCAAGGCGACGAUCAGUAGCCGGCCUGAGAGGGUGAACGGCCACAUUGGGACUGAGACACGGGCCCAAACUCCUACGGGAGGCAGCAGUGGGGAAUAUUGCACAAUGGGGGAAACCCUGAUGCAGCGACGCCGCGUGAGUGAAGAAGUAUUUCGGUAUGUAAAGCUCUAUCAGCAGGGAAGAAAAUGACGGUACCUGACUAAGAAGCCCCGGCUAACUACGUG